CGGGGAUAUGGUUUAGUGGUAUAAUACUCCCUUAGCAUUCUAGCAUGGGAGUGGUCCGGCGUUCGAUUCGCCGUAUCUCCAACC
Molecule: transfer RNA, 84 nt
Filed under: Periconia digitata
Lineage: Eukaryota; Fungi; Ascomycota; Dothideomycetes; Pleosporales; Periconiaceae
Description: tRNA-Ala
Rfam family: tRNA
About the family: Transfer RNA (tRNA) molecules are approximately 80 nucleotides in length. Their secondary structure includes four short double-helical elements and three loops (D, anti-codon, and T loops).
Source: RNAcentral